RNAcentral lists this ribosomal RNA (496 nucleotides) under uncultured Pseudomonadota bacterium. Its description in RNAcentral is "bacterial SSU rRNA". It matches the Rfam family "Bacterial small subunit ribosomal RNA", at positions 382 to 896 of the family's 1533-position model. Lineage: Bacteria; Pseudomonadati; Pseudomonadota. The record is from RNAcentral.
CCUGAUCCAGCAAUGCCGCGUGAGUGAUGAAGGCCUUCGGGUUGUAAAGCUCUUCGCACGCGACGAUGAUGACGGUAGCGUGAGAAGAAGCCCCGGCUAACUUCGUGCCAGCAGCCGCGGUAAUACGAAGGGGGCUAGCGUUGUUCGGAAUUACUGGGCGUAAAGGGCGCGUAGGCGGUGUGUCAAGUCAGGCGUGAAAGCCCCGGGCUCAACCUGGGAACCGCGCUUGAGACUGGCACGCUAGAGUUCGGGAGAGGAUGGUGGAAUUCCCAGUGUAGAGGUGAAAUUCGUAGAUAUUGGGAAGAACACCGAUGGCGAAGGCAGCCAUCUGGACCGACACUGACGCUGAGGCGCGAAAGCGUGGGGAGCAAACAGGAUUAGAUACCCUGGUAGUCCACGCCGUAAACGAUGAGUGCUAGACGUCGGGGCCCUCAGGGCUUCGGUGUCGCAGCUAACGCGUUAAGCACUCCGCCUGGGGAGUACGGCCGCAAGGUUA